UUUCCGUAGGUGAACCUGCGGAAGGAUCAUUCAUAAUAAAGUGCUUUAUGGCGCUUUUUAAUUAUCCAUAUCCACUUUAUGUGCAAUGUCAGAUCGCGUCAAUUUUGUCGAGAUUUUUAUAUAUAAACACAUUCUUUAACUAAUCUGUAUUAAAAAUAUUAUGAAUACUUAAUUCAAAAUACAACUUUCAACAACGGAUCUCUUGGCUCUC
This 211-nucleotide unclassified non-coding RNA is filed under the name plant metagenome. RNAcentral describes it as "partial contains small subunit ribosomal RNA, internal transcribed spacer 1, and 5.8S ribosomal RNA". The record is from RNAcentral.